This 253-nucleotide ribosomal RNA is filed under the name uncultured bacterium. RNAcentral's name for it is "partial 16S ribosomal RNA". It matches the Rfam family "Bacterial small subunit ribosomal RNA", at positions 524 to 776 of the family's 1533-position model. The record is from RNAcentral.
GACAGAGGUCCCGAGCGUUAGGCGGAAUUACUGGGCGUAAAGCGCGCGUAGGCGGACCUGCAAGUCGGGGGUGAAAGCCCGAGGCUCAACCUCGGAACUGCCUUCGAUACUGCGGGUCUCGAGUCCGGGAGAGGUGAGUGGAAUUCCUAGUGUAGAGGUGAAAUUCGUAGAUAUUAGGAAGAACACCAGUGGCGAAGGCGGCUCACUGGCCCGGUACUGACGCUGAGGCGCGAAAGCGUGGGGAGCAAACAGG